RNAcentral lists this ribosomal RNA (253 nucleotides) under uncultured bacterium. Its description in RNAcentral is "partial 16S ribosomal RNA". It matches the Rfam family "Bacterial small subunit ribosomal RNA", at positions 524 to 776 of the family's 1533-position model. The record is from RNAcentral.
UACGUAGGGUGCAGGCGUUAAUCGGAAUUACUGGGCGUAAAGCGUGCGCAGGCGGUUUGCUAAGACAGGUGGGAAAUCCCCGGGCUUAACCUGGGAACUGCGCUUGUAACUGGCAAGCUGGAGUGUGGCAGAGGGGGGUGGAAUUCCACGUGUAGCAGUGAAAUGCGUAGAGAUGUGGAGGAACACCGAUGGCGAAGGCAGCCCCCUGGGUUAACACUGACGCUCAGGCACGAAAGCGUGGGGAGCAAACAGG